GUAAUCACUUGUUCUUUAAUUGAGGACUAGUAUGAAUGGCCCCACGAGGACUACACUGUCUCCUUUCUCUAAUCAAUGAAACUGAUCUCCCCGUGAAGAAGCGGGGAUAAACCUAUAAGACGAGAAGACCCUAUGGAGCUUUAAACAACAGAAAUAUUUGCUUCUUUCCUACCAUUUUCUGAAAACUAAAUUAAUUCAAGCAUUUUAUCUCCCAGUUUUAGGUUGGGGUGACCACGGAGAAAAAAUAAACCUCCAUGUUGAAAGAAGCCUUCCGCCUUCUAAGCAAAAAGACACAACUUUAUGCAUCAACACAUUGACUCCCAUUGACCCAAUAAUUUGAUCAACGAACCAAGUUACCCUAGGGAUAACAGCGCAAUCUACUUUGAGAGCUCAUAUCGACAAGUAGGUUUACGACCUCGAUGUUG
Molecule: ribosomal RNA, 425 nt
Rfam family: Bacterial large subunit ribosomal RNA